GAUGAACGCUGGCUACAGGCUUAACACAUGCAAGUCGAGGGGAAACGCCGGGGAAGCUUGCUUCCCCGGGCGUCGACCGGCGCACGGGUGAGUAACGCGUAUCCAACCUGCCUCUGACUGAGGGAUAACCCGUCGAAAGUCGGCCUAAUACCUCAUGGUAUCGUCUGCGGGCAUCCAACUACGAUUAAAGAUUUCAUCGGUCAGGGAUGGGGAUGCGUCUGAUUAGCUUGUUGGCGGGGUAACGGCCCACCAAGGCUACGAUCAGUAGGGGUUCUGAGAGGAAGGUCCACCACAUUGGAACUGAGACACGGUCCAAACUCCUACGGGAGGCAGCAGUGAGGAAUAGUGGGCAAUGGGCGAGAGCCUGAACCAGCCAAGUAGCGUGCAGGAAGACGGCCCUAUGGGUUGUAAACUGCUUUUAUGCGGGGAUAAAGUGAGGGACGUGUCCCUCAUUGCAGGUACCGCAUGAAUAAGGACCGGCUAAUUCCGUG
RNAcentral lists this ribosomal RNA (491 nucleotides) under uncultured bacterium. RNAcentral's name for it is "partial 16S ribosomal RNA". It matches the Rfam family "Bacterial small subunit ribosomal RNA", at positions 28 to 507 of the family's 1533-position model. The record is from RNAcentral.